GCUGCAGAAGCCGGGCGGGGGCCGACCCGCCGAUCGUGGCGGCGCUGCAGAAGCCGGGCGGCGGCCGACCCGCCGAUCGUGGCGGCGCUGCGGAA
This 95-nucleotide transfer RNA is filed under the name Streptomyces echinoruber. RNAcentral's name for it is "tRNA-Thr". The record is from RNAcentral. Lineage: Bacteria; Bacillati; Actinomycetota; Actinomycetes; Kitasatosporales; Streptomycetaceae.